RNAcentral lists this ribosomal RNA (465 nucleotides) under Vreelandella stevensii. Its description in RNAcentral is "partial 16S ribosomal RNA". It matches the Rfam family "Bacterial small subunit ribosomal RNA", at positions 338 to 795 of the family's 1533-position model. The record is from RNAcentral. Lineage: Bacteria; Pseudomonadati; Pseudomonadota; Gammaproteobacteria; Oceanospirillales; Halomonadaceae.
CCUACGGGUGGCAGCAGUGGGGAAUAUUGGACAAUGGGCGAAAGCCUGAUCCAGCCAUGCCGCGUGUGUGAAGAAGGCCUUCGGGUUGUAAAGCACUUUCAGUGGGGAAGAAAGCCUUGGGGCUAAUACCCUCGAGGAAGGACAUCACCCACAGAAGAAGCACCGGCUAACUCCGUGCCAGCAGCCGCGGUAAUACGGAGGGUGCGAGCGUUAAUCGGAAUUACUGGGCGUAAAGCGCGCGUAGGCGGUCUGAUAAGCCGGUUGUGAAAGCCCCGGGCUCAACCUGGGAACGGCAUCCGGAACUGGCAGGCUAGAGUGCAGGAGAGGAAGGUAGAAUUCCCGGGGUAGCGGGGAAAUGCGGAGAGAUCGGGAGGAAUACCAGUGGCGAAGGCGGCCUUCUGGACUGACACUGACGCUGAGGUGCGAAAGCGUGGGUAGCAAACAGGAUUAGAUACCCGGGUAGGC